RNAcentral lists this ribosomal RNA (495 nucleotides) under uncultured bacterium. Its description in RNAcentral is "partial 16S ribosomal RNA". It matches the Rfam family "Bacterial small subunit ribosomal RNA", at positions 28 to 507 of the family's 1533-position model. The record is from RNAcentral.
GAUGAACGCUGGCGGCGUGCCUAAUACAUGCAAGUAGAACGCUGAAGGAGGAGCUUGCUCUUCUGGAUGAGUUGCGAACGGGUGAGUAACGCGUAGGUAACCUGCCUGGUAGCGGGGGAUAACUAUUGGAAACGAUAGCUAAUACCGCAUGACAACAGUUAUUGCAUGAUAACUGUUUAAAAGGGGCAACUGCUCCACUACCAGAUGGACCUGCGUUGUAUUAGCUAGUUGGUGAGGUAACGGCUCACCAAGGCGACGAUACAUAGCCGACCUGAGAGGGUGAUCGGCCACGCUGGGACUGAGACACGGCCCAGACUCCUACGGGAGGCAGCAGUAGGGAAUCUUCGGCAAUGGACGGAAGUCUGACCGAGCAACGCCGCGUGAGUGAAGAAGGUUUUCGGAUCGUAAAGCUCUGUUGUAAGAGAAGAACGAGUGUGAGAGUGGAAAGUUCACACUGUGACGGUAUCUUACCAGAAAGGGACGGCUAACUACGUG